GUGGCAACACCUCCAUAGAUAACAACCCCAAACACGAUGGUGAUGAUGGCACGUCUUUCCUGGGCCCAGAGGGCGAGCCCUACCUCUAUCCUCUAAAAACUAUGGAGGGGGACGGUGAGGUGAUCAUCAGCCCGGUACAGAACUGCAGCCAGUGUGAGAGCGGUGAAUGCCACGGAACCAAGGACAGCAUUGUCUGCUACUGCGAUGACUACUUCAUCCUGGCAACAGAUGGAGUGUCCUGCAUCAAUGCUACAGUGUCCCCGCUGUCUCCCCAGCCUACUCUCUCCUCCAUGGCACUGGGUCUGUCUGUGGGCACCUCAGCUC
RNAcentral lists this long non-coding RNA (324 nucleotides) under Echeneis naucrates (live sharksucker). RNAcentral's name for it is "lncRNA (ENSENLG00000012458.1)". Lineage: Eukaryota; Metazoa; Chordata; Actinopteri; Carangiformes; Echeneidae. The record is from RNAcentral.